Molecule: long non-coding RNA, 265 nt
Filed under: Setaria viridis
Lineage: Eukaryota; Viridiplantae; Streptophyta; Magnoliopsida; Poales; Poaceae
Description: long non-coding RNA (SVIR_LNC009646)
Source: RNAcentral
CGGUACACGAAUGUUACUUUUCCUCCUAUCACUAUAGAGGAUCGAUUAUUAGUACUGGUCGGGAAAGCCCUUUAGUACCGGUUUUUCGACCAGUACCGCUACAUCGGUACUAAAAAUAGCAUACUUUAAUUUACUCUAUUUUUCCACAAUUUAUUAGUCCUCUACCCUCGUAUUGAUCAAAUUCUUUAACUAAUACGAAAUAUGGUAUGCAAACUAUCCAAAAAAGUAUAGCUCAAAUUUAUCUCUUCCAUUGUACGCCAUACCC